This 450-nucleotide ribosomal RNA is filed under the name uncultured bacterium. RNAcentral describes it as "partial 16S ribosomal RNA". It matches the Rfam family "Bacterial small subunit ribosomal RNA", at positions 354 to 796 of the family's 1533-position model. The record is from RNAcentral.
GUGGGGAAUAUUGGACAAUGGGCGAAAGCCUGAUCCAGCCAUGCCGGGUGUGUGAAGAAGGUCUUCGGAUUGUAAAGCACUUUAAGUUGGGAGGAAGGGCAGUAAGUUAAUACCUUGCUGUUUUGACGUUACCGACAGAAUAAGCACCGGCUAACUUCGUGCCAGCAGCCGCGGUAAUACGAAGGGUGCAAGCGUUAAUCGGAAUUACUGGGCGUAAAGCGCGCGUAGGUGGUUUUGUAAGUUGGAGGUGAAAUCCCCGGGCUCAACCUGGGAACUGCCUCCAAAACUGCAUGACUAGAGUACGGUAGAGGGUAGUGGAAUUUCCUGUGUAGCGGUGAAAUGCGUAGAUAUAGGAAGGAACACCAGUGGCGAAGGCGACUACCUGGACUGAUACUGACACUGAGGUGCGAAAGCGUGGGGAGCAAACAGGAUUAGAUACCCCGGUAGUCC